UAUGUCCUCUCCUGGGCGCAAAGACAGCAAGAAAUUAGAAACGAUUUACAGGUCAGAGCAGACAGGCUUCCAUUCCUACAGCUGAAGGGUUUGGGAAGCUGAAAGGCAAAAGCUGCAGCUGCUGCUGUGAUGUGAAGCAACUCUCAUGUUGGUCAAUGCCCAUGGGAAAGGGAAUGAGGAACUCUCAAAGUCUCAGAAUUCCAGCCUCCUGCUCUGUGUUUAGGGAGUGCCAGUGCAUUCUUCUUCUUGGUGAAAACAAUUGUUUCUGAGGAAUACACUGAGGGCAUAUACAUGUGCAGAGGAUAGCCAUACAGAAUGGAUGCGCAGUCCUGGAAAUGCAGACUCACACUGCUCCCUCAGAACCUGAGAUGUGGAGGAAUUUCAAGAACAAGCCUUCUGCUGUUUAUGGACCAGAUGGCCAGAUGGGGAUUCUACCCAGAAAAUACUACCUGAAAUCAGGUAGCAUUCAAAUACUGAGUCUUAAGUACAAUUGUAAGGGUUGCUGGAAACCUUAUAUCUCCAUCUGUGAAAAUGAAAAGUGA
This 542-nucleotide long non-coding RNA is filed under the name Anas platyrhynchos platyrhynchos (common mallard). RNAcentral's name for it is "lncRNA (ENSAPLG00000028039.1)". Lineage: Eukaryota; Metazoa; Chordata; Aves; Anseriformes; Anatidae. The record is from RNAcentral.